UGAGGUGGCAGUUCAGGCACUGGGAGCCCCAGGCCCGUAAUGGGCAGGGGGCUCCCAGUGCCUGGACUGCCACCAAAAC
Pelobates cultripes (western spadefoot toad) is the source of this 79-nucleotide non-coding RNA. The record is from the annotation of a GenBank genome assembly. Lineage: Eukaryota; Metazoa; Chordata; Amphibia; Anura; Pelobatidae.